GCUACAAAGCAGCAAAAAUACAUAUUAAUGAUGUGCCCUUACUAAUUAAAUUUAACAGAAUGAAAGUUGAGCUGCACAGUGGUGCAGCUUGUAGCACUGUCGCCUUGCAGAGACAAGGUCCUGGGUUCGAAUCCCAGCUUGGGGUCUUUCUGUGUGGAGUUUGUAUGUUCUCUCUGGAUAAACAAUUUAGAUCUUGCUAUUGUAAUAACACAUUCAAUUAUUUUCAAAAUUCAAAAAUACAUUAUUGAAUUUUGAAUAUAUAUGAAUAAGAACACAUCUUUACAAGGGCACCAAUAAGUGUGUGGAGGAAUGCAUUUCAGUCAAGGUCAUCAAUGUUGAUGCACAGCCCAAAUAAAAUAUUUCCCUGUUUAUAUGAACUGAUGUAAUCAUAAUUGAGGUGUUUACAAUUUUAUAACAGUGCAUAAUAAUAGAGAAAAAGUUUAUUUGUCAAAAUUGUUGAAAGGCAAUGUCCAAAUAUAAAGUCGUUCAAAUCAGAAACUCCAUACAUCCAACUUCUU
Long non-coding RNA from Xiphophorus hellerii (green swordtail), 518 nucleotides. RefSeq lists it as uncharacterized. The record is from RefSeq and is a predicted model, not a curated record. The transcript has 3 exons. NCBI's taxonomy places the organism in Eukaryota, Metazoa, Chordata, Actinopteri, Cyprinodontiformes, Poeciliidae.